CACUUCGAAGUUUGGGUUUGCCGUGCUGCCGUACGGUGAUCACCCAGGAAAUAACGAUAAUCACAAGUUGUUUGGAACAACAACCGCGUUAUGGCUGCAGUCAACACGCAUUCCUGAUAAAAGACAAUAAAGAUAAAACAUGGUGCAUUGAUCCAAAUUCUGAGUGGCUCAAAGACAAAAUAGAGAAGGAAGAAUUGAACUGUCCUCCGGUGAUUAGUGAAUAAAGUAACAAUGAGACCAAAAAACAUCAGCGUAAAGAAGCUGCAGACAACA
Molecule: long non-coding RNA, 273 nt
Organism: Pundamilia nyererei
Lineage: Eukaryota; Metazoa; Chordata; Actinopteri; Cichliformes; Cichlidae
Exons: 3
Source: RefSeq, a predicted model, not a curated record